This 429-nucleotide ribosomal RNA is filed under the name Bacteroidota bacterium. RNAcentral's name for it is "Bacteroidetes bacterium partial 16S ribosomal RNA". It matches the Rfam family "Bacterial small subunit ribosomal RNA", at positions 355 to 776 of the family's 1533-position model. Lineage: Bacteria; Pseudomonadati; Bacteroidota. The record is from RNAcentral.
UAGGGAAUCUUCCGCAAUGGACGCAAGUCUGACGGAGCAACGCCGCGUGAGUGAAGAAGGAUUUCGGUUCGUAAAACUCUGUUGUUAGAGAAGAACAGCGCAUAGAGUAACUGUUAUGCGUGUGACGGUAUCUAACCAGAAAGCCACGGCUAACUACGUGCCAGCAGCCGCGGUAAUACGUAGGUGGCAAGCGUUGUCCGGAUUUAUUGGGCGUAAAGCGAGCGCAGGCGGUCAAUUAAGUCUGAUGUGAAAGCCCCCGGCUCAACCGGGGAGGGUCAUUGGAAACUGGUUGACUUGAGUGCAGAAGAGGGGAGUGGAAUUCCAUGUGUAGCGGUGAAAUGCGUAGAUAUAUGGAGGAACACCAGUGGCGAAAGCGACUCUCUGGUCUGUAACUGACGCUGAGGUUCGAAAGCGUGGGUAGCAAACAGG